This is a long non-coding RNA of Dermacentor albipictus, 797 nucleotides long. RefSeq lists it as uncharacterized. The record is from RefSeq and is a predicted model, not a curated record. NCBI's taxonomy places the organism in Eukaryota, Metazoa, Arthropoda, Arachnida, Ixodida, Ixodidae.
GGGCCGUCGGGUGCAUGUGUGUUCUCCGUGACAUUCUUGAAGUUGUGAGUAAUUAGAUUGUUUUUUGCUGCGUUUAGGUUGUACCACCUCGUUGUUCUCGCGUACUUUUGUGCUCAUCGACGCGAAGUGAGCGUCCGGAGUGAAGACGACGCGAUUGUGCGUGAGAAAGAAGGGCAGCAGCGGCCUACGACAUCGGUGUUUCUUUGUGACAGUGUGUUUACUACGCCUACGACGGCCGUCAUUCGUGGCGACGGAGAAAACAUCUUCCAUUCGGCCUGAACAGUGAUGAAGUGGACGUUUUGUUUUUCGGCGGAAUCCAUCGUCAACAUCGACCAUCCACUACGUAAUCGAAAUGGUGUGCCCACAGUACACAUCGUGGCAGCGCUCCGCCUUCAAACCGAGGGCCUUUUGCAAGGCGCAUGAACUGCUCAUAUAAAAGUUACAGUCAGCAUGAAGCAAUUGCAUGGGAACCGACUGGCUGUCUUGGGCCUACACAUUGCUGAAAAGACAGUGAAGAUGUCUGAACCGACAGGUAGAAAAGAAGCAGAUGGCUACAGCGAUCAGUGAAGAAAUGGCUUCAUCUAUGAUGGCUCGCCUUAGGACAUUGGAAUGCAGCUACACAAAGGCAUCAUCAUCCUCGCCUCUGCCCUGGAACUUUGGUUUGAAUGAGACUGUUCUUCACCGUAGAACGGCCACAAGACUUGUCACCACAUACAAGGCAUAGUGCAAGCUCUAAAUAUUGUACAGGAGGCUAGAAUAAAUGACCCUCCAUGCAGUCACUCUGUGUCUGUGGUAAA